CGGGGCGGGGGCGGCGUCUCUCCCGGGGCCCGCGCGGGGGCGAGGGGCGAGGGGCUGCGAGGGGCCGGGCCGGGGGCACGUCCAGGGGCGCCCCGCAGGCCUCGCGCCGCAGCCGCGGCCCCCGCGCCCUCGCCGGCGACGUCGCGCAGCCUCUUCCCACGCAGGAGCCGGGAUGCGCGACUAAUGGAAGCGUCGGCCCCGCCUUGCUCUCCACGGACACGGAAUGUUUGUCCCUAUUGAGAAUAGGACCUUGUAGCCGGCCCCGAUACUAGCGUUGACAUGGGCGAGGCGCGGGGGGAGGCGCUGGCUGAUGGCGAAGGAGGGCAGGCCGCUGGCAUCCCCGGCAGAGGACACGGCAGACGUCACCUCGCGGCACGUGAUGGGCGGCUGAGGGAGAUGCAGAGGAAGAUGGAGCCCCUCAUUACUGCAUCCGGGGAAUGUGGGGAGGUCGGGCGUCGCAGGAGGCUGUCACGGGGCAGCGUCACUUCUUGCUCAGUGACUGGCCAUCCUGCCAGCCUGAGGCUCCGACACCCCUUCAACUCCUGCCACCCAGCUGCUCAGGACCACUCCCAGCUCCCUGCCCAGCCCAGCACCCACUUCAUUCCUAUCUCCAAGAACUACCCGCUCUCCCUCCACCCUGUGUCAAUCCAUGGGCCGCCUGAUCCAGCGUGUUUUCUGUUCUAGCAGAAGGGAGGGUCUACUGAUUAGUAGUAUGUUGGUGGAUUAUUUCCUUUUGUUCUUUCCCUCCAUAUUUUCUCUAAGUGAAAAAGUACCUAAUUUUUUCUUGAAUGCACAAAAAUAAGUGACGCGGAACCAGAAAUAUUGAUUUUUCCCCCCACAUGUAUAUUCAAUGCAAAGUGCAUUUGUUUCAGGGGCUGCCAUGGCAGUGCUAGGAAGCUGCUCCUGGAUGGGUGCUUAGGGGACCACGUGGUGCCAAGGAUUGACCCCAGGUAGCCCUUUGAGCUCUCUCCCCAGCUCAUGGCAUUUGGUGUGGAGAGCUCUCCUACACAGUGCAAAGGAGAGCCUGGGGCCCCUUCAUCUGAUUAUUGGCCAGUGGAGCUAGUAGUUCAGUGUGAGACCUGAGGAUGCAGCAAUGCUCCUGCCCUGGGAGUGUCUGGCUCACCCUGGCGAUGCUUGAGGGACCACGUGUGCUGGGAUCAACCUAGGGUUUGCCAAGCAGGCACCUUGACCUUUGUACUAUUUCUGUGAUCCUAGCAGAUUUGAUUUUUUGAUUGAUUUUUUUUUUAAACGUUUUGAGGAGUCACAAGCUACAAUACUCGGGGCUUUCUUCUACCACUACUCUCAGGGGUCGCUCCUGGCAGUGUUCUGGCAGAACUAUGGUACUGGGAGUUGAACCCAGGUCAGCUCUCUGCAAAGCCCUGCCCACUGUACUAUCUGGCCCCCAGAUUUGAAUUUUUAAAACUUUCUCUAAGAGACUUGGGAGAUAAAGUGAUAGUUUUACAUGGUUAGUUGUGCCUGACCGGGUUUGGACCUGGGUACCACAUGACUUCCAGGCAUCACUGGGUAUGUUCCCAGGAGACCUGAGCACCACUGGGGUAGUCCUGGUGGUCUCAGGCCUCACGGGUCCAGCAAUGCUGUAUUCUUGGACCCUGGGGCAUCGCAGGCCUGAUCGGCCAAACAUAGCCUUGGGGCUCAGAAGAUUAGUCAAGUAGCCAAGCACAUGGGACUGGAGAGAUAGUACAGCGGAUAGGGCGUUUGCCUUGCACACGCCGACCCGGGUUUGAUCCCUGGCAUCCCAUAGGGUCCCCCAAGCACCGCCAGGAGUAACUCCUGAGUGCAGAACCAGGAGUAGCCCCUGAGCAUCGCUGGGUGUGGUGGCCCAAAAAGAAGAGAAAAAAAAAAGGCUGAGUAUAUGCCUAGUGUGAGACCUUGAGUCCAGGUCUGAGCACCGCAUAGCCCCCAACCACUGCUGCUGGAGGCACCCCCUCUGACUGGCUGGAGUGACCACCUUUUCAGAACAACAGUGACAGCAGCACCAAAAAAGGAGGUAGGAGCUGUUGUCUCAGGUUUGAUCCCAGCAGCUCCAAAGGCAGCCCUCCGCACUGAUGGACGUGCCCCAACCAAGAACACACUUACUCUGGAGUUAAAGAAGUAUGUGGCCAGGGAGGCAGUGCGGCAGGAAAGCUGCUUGCUUGGCUUGAGCUGGCACUGUCAAUCCCAGGCACAGCAUAGGCUAACCCGAGUCCUGUCGUGAGUGACUCCUGAGUGCAGAGCCCGGAGUAGGCAUCCCUGACGAGCCCUCGGGCGGGCCCCAAACACCAAAAGCCCAAACAAAUUCGAGAAUUAUUCCAAGGGCAGCAGGUGGUCUCAGAGAAGCCUUGUAGGAUCUGCAUGCGCUUUCACAUGGACCGGAAGUGGCACUGACAGGAGAGGACUGUAGGACGCACUGGCCCAGACCCUACAACCCGCCCACCCCAAGCCAAGCGGGCCGCCUGUGACCCCAUGUUGGCUGGUGUGUGGCAGGCACCUCAGACUUGCACGCUGUCGCUUGGGACCUGGUAUGGUUCAGUGUUUGACACCUCUGUGACCAGUUUCAGGCCUGGAACUCUGCUCGUCACGUGCGCAGGCACCUGUUGGGUCCCUUGUGCCCGGAUCAGUGUGUGUGUUUCCCUCUCCCAAUCUCGUCAGCUGAACCUGGCUCUGGGCACCUGCAGUGUCAUUUGUGGAUGGUUGUGUGGGUCAUCCACAGGUUUCUGUCGCUAGAGGAAGUGGGGACACUGGUGGUCUUCACACUGGUCACUUGUCUCCCAUCUGGGCCACCCCCCAGCCAGGUCUAGGCCCUGGGUGGCAAGUGGCUCUCCAUGCAGCCCCCAGGAGCAAUGGGGUGUCCGGGGGGUGUUCUAGGCAUCCAUGCAGAUAAACCAAGGACCCUGUCUCUGGAGGGAAAAGCAGAGGAUUGACCGAAGCAGCAGGGUUUGGGGGUGGGGGGAGCCCCACGCUGAAGAGCAUGCAGUGGAGGAGUCACAGUGUGUGGCACACAUUCCAGAAGAGAAGGCGUCAUGUCAGAGGCAGGUAACUUCACAGCCCAGCACGCACCCGGUGGCUUCCAUGACACGUCUGCAGGGGGAGGUACAGUGUGCUUAAUGCAGCUGUGGAGCACUGAGACCUGCUCAGCUGGGGGGGGGGGGGCACCUUUUCCUCACUCGAAGGCAGCCAGUGCCUCCCUGGUGCAGAAUGAGUCAAGAGCAACUGGCUGGCUAUUCAUGUGGCCCUUGGAAAUGGACUCCACAUGAAAGGUGGGGUGGGUGGAGGCCGUGACAAUGGAGGUGCUCAUGGCCCCUCUUUCUGCCAGUAGUUCCAAGCUGGCCUCACUCCCAGCACAUCCCACCUGGCUCACGUAGCUGCCGAGAGACAUCCAUCCAUGAUCAAGCCAAGACCAAGCACAUGCCCACAGCUCAGGACAGAGGGCGUGUUCGUCUGCUUGGAGGGUGUGGGGCUCGCUCCUGAGGCCACGGAGCAGACUUCUGCCCACAGCCCGACUUGGACACAAUGACCACAAGCAGCGGCCUGGCCUCUGGGGCUAGCCUGGGAUGCUACCUGGGGGGAAGGACUGGAGAGGGGGCAGGGUGGAGACGGAGAUGGCACAGAGGGGCAGGCUUCAAAGGCAGACAUGGACAGAACUGGCUGCAGAGCCCCCAGCAUGGCCUGUGAGCCUGGGGGACCCAGUCCCAGUGCUGCCACCAUAGCCUCUUGCUCUACCGGGUUCUGCCUGUGUCACACAUCACUGGUCUGGGCUUCAGGAUUGGGCACCUGCCUUGUGCUGAGGGACAUGCCUGCUUCCUCCAGAGGACACUGGCCUGGCCUCCUAGAGCCUCCUGUGGAGGGUGCCCUGGUUCCUCAGAGCUUUCUUCCUGCCCCUUGCGGGUCCAGGUCACACUCACUGGAGAGCUUGGUUGCCUCCUGCAUGGCAGCCUCCGCAUGCAGGUUUGAGCCUUGAGCACCUGGGCACACAGGGUUUGCCCUUUACCUGCCACCCAACUGCAUGAAUGUGCUAGUAUGUGUGGCCAGAGGUCCAGCUUGUGCCAUGCUGUGGGGCACUGGGUCUGGCUUUCAUCACUCAGGCAAGUGGUACCCAUACUAUGUCAGAGCCAUGCAGGGAGGGACCGCAGCAAACAUUCCUGGGCUGUGUUACGUGGGCAGUGUGUGCAGUGCUGUGGGGCCCCAAGAACUCCAAGGUUGUGUCCUGCGUCAUAAUCUCACUUCCUGAGAUUUUGGCAUGUUCCACAAGAAGCCGAACUGCAGGGCUGGAAUAAUAGUACAGAGCGAGGGUGCUUGCCUUGCAUGUGACUGACCUGAAUUCAAUUUCCCGUCACCCUAUAUGCUGUCCUAAAUCCUGCUGGGGAUGAGCCCUGACACCAAUUGGUGUCCUCCCCUCCCCCAGAAGAUGGGCUGUGAUGGGGCAGACAGGGACUCAUAAUGUGGUGAGUGCUGGGAGGCAGCAAUUCUGCGAGAGAGCCAGGUCACCAGAGGAGGUUGGCAUCUGAUGUGUGUCCUACUCUACAUUUCAGUCUGGGCUGGAAGUGACACGCCACACAGACGGGCACAUCCUGCCACUACACCCGUGACCUGUGGCUCUCAGGGAGGCUGAUACAUGGAAGGGGACAGUGACAGUUCCUUGCCAUGUUGGCAGGGGACCUGAAGUGGCAGCUGGAGGUUGGGAGAUGGCUGGGAGCCGUGGGAGCACCUCACAGGAUCCGCCUAUGCAUGGGCUGGUUGGGGGUCAGGAACGAAAGGCGCCAGGGAGCACAUGGGCUCCGCGGGUGGAGAAAGCCACCUCUUAGCAGUCCCAAGGAAUGCAGCCAUGGUCACUCCCCUGGGCACUGUGCUCGUGCUGGCACUAUCCUCUGGGGUGGAAGUGGUGUGCAGGAGAUGGGUGGUAGGCCAGGUUUGUGCUCUGGAAAUGAGGUUCAAGAUGGUGGGAAGGGAACAGUAGGGAGGGGGCUGCUGCCUUCUCACAUGGGAUCAAAGAUGUCUGCAUCUGUUAAUGCAGGGGUGCAGAGUGGGCACAACUGCUGGCAGAUGCCUUCACCUCUGCUGUGUGGGGGUGGGGCGGCCAGGGUUGGAAAGGAAGACUGUAGAAAGUGCUGGUAUUCCCCGAGCCUGUGUGGAGACUCCGCGAGACUGUGUGGGAGUGUCACCUUCUCCAGGCAGGUGUGUGGAGGGAGGAAGGAACCCAGUCAGCAGGAUAGACUCGGUCAGUGCUGGGGGGCCCCAGCUUCAGGCUGGGGAGAAGAGGGCAGUGAGGAAACAUCAUGAAUUCCUUUGCUGUUGUUUGGAGGCACAUAGACAGUGCUCAUGACUCACUACUGACUCUGUGCUCAGGGAGCACUCCUAGUGGGCUUGGAGGACUCUCUGGGAUGCCAGAGAUCAAACCCGGGCCUGCCCUGUGCAAGGCCAGUGCCCUCCCCUCUGUGCUUUCACCCAGACCCCUGGAGACAUUACGAAUUCUAGGCAGGAUCCAGUCCUCAUCACUGCUGCCCUGCACCCGUUGGUCUGUCCCUGCUUUCUUGGUGUGGGGCCAUAUGCAGGUCGGUGUGUGCCGGACCGUGUCACGCUCCGACCCAUCUGACUAUGGGGACAGCUGACACCUUCUGUCCG
Molecule: RNA transcript, 5619 nt
Organism: Sorex araneus (European shrew)
Lineage: Eukaryota; Metazoa; Chordata; Mammalia; Eulipotyphla; Soricidae
Gene: ZNF623
Gene name: zinc finger protein 623
Exons: 2
Source: RefSeq, a predicted model, not a curated record